Molecule: long non-coding RNA, 638 nt
Filed under: Linum usitatissimum (flax)
Lineage: Eukaryota; Viridiplantae; Streptophyta; Magnoliopsida; Malpighiales; Linaceae
Description: long non-coding RNA (LUSI_LNC006865)
Source: RNAcentral
GCCGAUUGAAUCUAGUCAAUCGUUGUUGGGUAUGGGAGGAGGAAUAGGGGGCUAAGGAAUAUUGGCAUACAUCUGGGAUAUCUGUAGCUUUGCAUGGUUAGAGAAUUUGAGCUGGGAUUUGUGUAGCGGAGGAAAAGUGCGUGACAGAGGAUUUGGAUUUUGAUUUGGGUUUUGCGAAUCGAAAAAUGAGGAAAGAUCAAGGGUAAAAUAAAGAGGAGGAAAAAGGGAACGAAAGGAAGAGGAGGAAUGAGAAGAGAGUGAGAGUUGGUAGGGAAUCCAUGAAAAUGUAUUACAGAGAAAUGGUUGUGGUGGAUGAAAAUUUGAUGGACUUUUUGGAUGGUGGAGGCAUCGGUGACAUUUUGGGGUUGAGAUUGGUUUUUUGUGUAGAAACUAAAAAAUAUUUGUUAAUUCUUUUUUUUCUUUUUAUGGUCAAUAUUUUUUUGAAAUUAAUUGGGCUCACCAGCACAAUUGGUAUUGACUUGGCAUGUCCAUGUAGAAUAAUGACUUGUUGGAUUACAGAAACUUGCUAAUGAUUGCUAAAUAAAUUUUAAUAGCAUGUUCUGCAGAAUUUUAACUAUGAUGUCAUAUGAUACAAUUACUAAAGAUUAUAUGACAUAUGCCGUAUAUUUUUCAUUGGA